Molecule: long non-coding RNA, 146 nt
Filed under: Sus scrofa (pig)
Lineage: Eukaryota; Metazoa; Chordata; Mammalia; Artiodactyla; Suidae
Description: lncRNA (ENSSSCG00070024194.1)
Source: RNAcentral
CUGUGAUCUUACCAUGGAGAUGCCACAUUCCAAGUCUGCCUGUUUGAAUCCCUCUCCUAUGACAUAGAGCAGUCAAGCAAGAGAGCACCCACUGGCUAUUUACAUUUCCACAAGAAAACAACAGACAACUUAUCGCUACCUAUAAA